Non-coding RNA from Meleagris gallopavo (turkey), 602 nucleotides. The record is from RefSeq and is a predicted model, not a curated record. Lineage: Eukaryota; Metazoa; Chordata; Aves; Galliformes; Phasianidae.
UGCGCGCCCGCAGCCCGGAGGUCGUUCGGUGCUGGCGGACCGGGCCCUUACGUAACGCCGCCUCAGCAGCACCCCGGGCUGAGAUCGGCACUUGUUGCGGGGAAGGUGAAGCGGCGCGCCCGCCCCGUGCCGGGGUCGUGCCUUGCUGCGAGCGUCGCUCGCUUUCUCCGGUCUUUUGGAAGGCGUCGGUUUGAAGCCGUGCCGGGGUUCUGGCUCGAGCCCCCGCGGAGCCUAACCUUGAGGCUUACGUAAAGAACGCUGCGCGGCGGUGGGCGAUAACGACCGGCCCGAGGCCGCGCGGCGGUCGUUGGCGGUGGCCUCGCGGCCAUCGAUCGGCGCGGCGGAGCGGAGCCGCAGAUACGCAUUGCAGGGCUGCGCACCUGAAGUUAACAAGCAUAAGCCAUGGAUUGAAACGACGUAUCAUGGGAUAGUCACAGAAAACGACAACACAGUUCUCUUGGACCCCCCUUUAAUAGCCCUGGACAAAGAUGCACCUUUGCGUUUUGCAGAGAGUUUUGAGGUGACAGUCACCAAAGAAGGUGAUAAAGGGUUCUUUCUAUCCCUUUUAUGAAUAUUAACCCACUAACUUUGGUUAUGAAAUG